GCGGCAUGCCUAAUACAUGCAAGUCGAGCGGACAGAAGGGAGCUUGCUCCCGGAAGUCAGCGGCGGACGGGUGAGUAACACGUGGGCAACCUGCCCUUUAGAUUGGGAUAACUUCGGGAAACCGAAGCUAAUACCGAAUAAUACAUGGAAUCUCCUGGUUCUAUGUUGAAAGAUGGCCUUUGUGCUAUCACUAAGGGAUGGGCCCGCGGCGCAUUAGCUAGUUGGUAAGGUAACGGCUUACCAAGGCGACGAUGCGUAGCCGACCUGAGAGGGUGAUCGGCCACACUGGGACUGAGACACGGCCCAGACUCCUACGGGAGGCAGCAGUAGGGAAUCUUCCGCAAUGGACGAAAGUCUGACGGAGCAAUGCCGCGUGAGUGAGGAAGGCCUUCGGGUCGUAAAGCUCUGUUGUGAGGGAAGAACAAGUACCGGAGUAACUACCGGUACCGUGACGGUACCUCACCAGAAAGCCACGGCUAACUACGUGCCAGCAGCCGCGGUAAUACGUAGGUGGCAAGCGUUGUCCGGAAUUAUUGGGCGUAAAGCGCGCGCAGGCGGCUUCUUAAGUCUGAUGUGAAAUCUCGGGGCUCAACCCCGAGCGGCCAUUGGAAACUGGGAAGCUUGAGUACAGAAGAGGAGAGUGGAAUUCCACGUGUAGCGGUGAAAUGCGUAGAUAUGUGGAGGAACACCAGUGGCGAAGGCGACUCUCUGGUCUGUAACUGACGCUGAGGCGCGAAAGCGUGGGGAGCAAACAGGAUUAGAUACCCUGGUAGUCCACGCCGUAAACGAUGAGUGCUAGGUGUUAGGGGUUUCGAUGCCCGUAGUGCCGAAGUAAACACAUUAAGCA
RNAcentral lists this ribosomal RNA (847 nucleotides) under Bacillus sp. (in: firmicutes). Its description in RNAcentral is "bacterial SSU rRNA". It matches the Rfam family "Bacterial small subunit ribosomal RNA", at positions 39 to 866 of the family's 1533-position model. Lineage: Bacteria; Bacillati; Bacillota; Bacilli; Caryophanales; Bacillaceae. The record is from RNAcentral.